CUGAAUACGAAUUCAUCUGAGUCGAGCUGCGUGAGUUUGGCGCAGACCCUGAGCAAAGGAAACAGCAAGGCACACCAGAAAAAUACUGAGAUAGACAAAAUAUUUUCUGUUCAGAAAUGGGAGAUCUGUUCCAAUUCAGGAGAGUAAAGUAACCCCUGACCUCUGACCCCAAAUGUGGGCGAGGAGCAACCAUCCGACGGCUUAGACACACCUGCACCUGAGGAUUCUGAUGACCAAAUGGUUAACACACUGUGACAAGAGAAAAUAACAAGCAGGAAGAGAACAAGACAAAAAUACCUGCAGAUCUCCACAGAAGAGACUUCUCAGAAGAGCUGGAAAAAGUGACGAGAAAAGAAAAAAGAUUAAAUGAGAGGAGAACAAUGUCACACAUGGUGCACAAAGCAUCUGAGGCAUUUUAUGAAACGAGUGCCUUGUUCAGUUUGUUAAGUUGAUUAAAAGUAACUUUUUAAAAAACAAAAUAAUUAAAUAUUGUGUUUAAGUGGUAAUAUAUUACGGCAUUAAUUGAUUUUAAUAUAUUAUGCCUUCAGAAAAGUAAGACAGUUGACAGUUCUACAAUGUAUUUUGACAUAUUGUGCUUUAAUUCAACAGUCCUGAGUUCAAGGUUACGGAGCUAGAAAAUGUUUAUUAAAGAGACAAUUUUAUACUGGUAUUAAAUAUACACUUUUCAAUUAUUACUUACUAUUAAAAUCAUGAUAACAGGGUGUGCACUUUUUACGAUCACUCCCACUGGUAAACCGAAUGUGACAUACAACACAAUAAACUUUAAAGGUGUAUUCAGUAAUUCUUUAGCUAGUGAUUCUGUUCUCUCCACUGGAAAAGCACUAUAAUAAGUGUGGCUCAUUGUCUAAUUUUACACUACACUACUAGUGUAUCUACACAACGAAAGCC
This is a long non-coding RNA of Onychostoma macrolepis, 909 nucleotides long. RefSeq lists it as uncharacterized. The record is from RefSeq and is a predicted model, not a curated record. The transcript is spliced from 3 exons. Lineage: Eukaryota; Metazoa; Chordata; Actinopteri; Cypriniformes; Cyprinidae.